This 407-nucleotide ribosomal RNA is filed under the name uncultured bacterium. Its description in RNAcentral is "partial 16S ribosomal RNA". It matches the Rfam family "Bacterial small subunit ribosomal RNA", at positions 28 to 526 of the family's 1533-position model. The record is from RNAcentral.
GAUGAACGCUAGCUACAGGCUUAACACAUGCAAGUCGCAGGACUGGCGCACGGGUGAGUAACGCGUAUCCAACCUGCCCAUAAGUAGGGCAUAACCCGCAGAAAUGCGGACUAAUCCCCUCUGCUUAUGGAUGGGGAUGGGUCCGAUUAGCUGGUUGGUGAGGUAACGGCCCACCAAGGCUUCGAUCGGUAGGGGUUCUGAGAGGCAGGCCGCCCACAUCGGAACUGAGACACGGUCCUAACUCCUACGGGAGGCAGCAGUGAGGAAUAUUGGUCAAUGGGCGAGAGCCUGAACCAGCCAAGUAGCGGGCAGAAAGACGGCCUUUGGGUUGAAAACUGCUUUUAUGCGGGGAUAGGUACCGCAUGAAUAAGGACCGGCUAAUUCCGUGCCAGCAGCCGCGGUAAUUC